Molecule: long non-coding RNA, 1248 nt
Filed under: Vitis vinifera (wine grape)
Lineage: Eukaryota; Viridiplantae; Streptophyta; Magnoliopsida; Vitales; Vitaceae
Description: long non-coding RNA (VVIN_LNC001775)
Source: RNAcentral
UCCUGGUAGACUGAGGCUUGGGAUGGUUAUGAGUACCUUUGUAGACAAUCUCAGUGACCUGGCCUUCCAAGGAUCUUUCCACUUUCUUCUUAGUUGGGCAAUUGGGGUAUGUGCACUUGUAAUAGCUUCUCGGGUUUUCGCUUCCUUUCACUUGUUUCUGCCCAUAUUUCCUCCAAUUGUACCCGUCCUCUGAUCUUCUCUGCUCUCUAAUUGACUGAGAUGAUGCGUGGUAACUGCCAUAAUCCGAUUGGAAUCCAUUGUUGCCGUUUCCGUUGCUCUGAGUGUUAGUUUGGAUCGUGGCAAUCUCAGGGGAGAAGCUCUGGUAGGAACCAAAUUCAGAUUUCACCGUAGUUUUUUCUGAUGAAAAACUAUCUUGCUUGGUUGGUUCUUGAAAACUCCAAGCUGGUUGCUGUCCUCUCAAGGCUUGUUCCUAAGAAUUUUAAACAAUUCAAAGAUUAUUAAAGAGAACCCAGAUCAGAGAAAGCUAAGGAAGAUCGAAAUCCAGAACAUACAGUAGUAAUCGUGGUGGUUGAAGGCUGAAACAUGCUUGCUGAAGUCGUGGAAGGCCUUGCCUGGGGUUGGAACGAAAAAUCUAGGUAGUUUUUAUCUUCCCUUUUGACAUCCUGCUGGUUGCUGUUCGAAUUACUCCUCCAAUUGAAGCCCUGAGAUGGAAAAGUUCCUGUUGUCGGAGAAGGCAGAAUCUGCAUACAAACACAAAUACCCAUAAAUUAAAUUCCACAAGAAACCCCCAGACAUGGACCAAACCAACACCCGAUAAGCUAAAAUCCUUCGAAGAGAUUCAAAAAGAUGGAACAACCUCGGGUCUAUGUCCUAAUUCCCCGUUUGGUUGCCAAGAAAAUGAUUGAACUAAGCUCAACAGAGUCAAGCUCUCUGUUCCCACCACAAAAACAUGAAAACAAAGGAAGAAGAAAUACACAUACGUUAGAAGUGGAGAGAAGCACAGGCGAGUCGAGAAGUUCAGCUGGGCUCAACCCUGCAGGAAUAGAAAAGUAAGAAGAAGGAGAGAUCGGAGGCGGGGAGAUGGGCAGCGAAGGCGGAGGAAUUGACUUGAACUUCGGCACUCCGGACCCCGUCCUCUCUGCAAUUCGAUCCGAAAGCCCCCUCCCCACGGCACCCUUGUCACCAGUGGUGGUGGUGACGGGAUCCUCGUCGGCGGACGUGAGGAGGUCGGAGUAGGAAGUGGACAUGAAAGAGGAGAAAGAGAAAAGGGGAUGCGAGUUUGCAGAG